AACGAACGCUGGCGGCAUGCCUAACACAUGCAAGUCGAACGAGACCUUCGGGUCUAGUGGCGCACGGGUGCGUAACGCGUGGGAACCUGCCCUUAGGUUCGGAAUAACUCCCCGAAAGGGGUGCUAAUACCGGAUAAUGUCUUCGGACCAAAGAUUUAUGGCCUUUGGAUGGGCCCGCGUUGGAUUAGCUAGUUGGUAGGGUAAAAGCCUACCAAGGCGACGAUCCAUAGCUGGUCUGAGAGGAUGAUCAGCCACACUGGGACUGAGACACGGCCCAGACUCCUACGGGAGGCAGCAGUGGGGAAUAUUGGACAAUGGGCGAAAGCCUGAUCCAGCAAUGCCGCGGGAGUGAUGAAGGCCUUAGGGUUGUAAAGCUCUUUUACCCGAGAUGAUAAUGACAGUACCGGGAGAAUAAGCACCGGCUAACUCCGUG
This 433-nucleotide ribosomal RNA is filed under the name uncultured bacterium. RNAcentral's name for it is "partial 16S ribosomal RNA". It matches the Rfam family "Bacterial small subunit ribosomal RNA", at positions 29 to 507 of the family's 1533-position model. The record is from RNAcentral.